GACGAACGCUGGCGGCGUGCUUAACACAUGCAAGUCGAACGAAGAGCGACGGAAGCUUGCUUCUAUCAAUCUUAGUGGCGAACGGGUGAGUAACGCGUAAUCAACCUGCCCUUCAGAGGGGGACAACAGUUGGAAACGACUGCUAAUACCGCAUACGAUCUAACCUCGGCAUCGAGGAUAGAUGAAAGGUGGCCUCUACAUGUAAGCUAUCACUGAAGGAGGGGAUUGCGUCUGAUUAGCUAGUUGGAGGGGUAACGGCCCACCAAGGCGAUGAUCAGUAGCCGGUCUGAGAGGAUGAACGGCCACAUUGGGACUGAGACACGGCCCAGACUCCUACGGGAGGCAGCAGUGGGGAAUCUUCCGCAAUGGACGAAAGUCUGACGGAGCAACGCCGCGUGAGUGAUGACGGCCUUCGGGUUGUAAAGCUCUGUUAAUCGGGACGAAAGGCCUUCUUGCGAAUGGUGAGAAGGAUUGACGGUACCGGAAUAGAAAGCCACGGCUAACUACGUG
Molecule: ribosomal RNA, 510 nt
Filed under: uncultured bacterium
Lineage: Bacteria
Description: partial 16S ribosomal RNA
Rfam family: Bacterial small subunit ribosomal RNA
Source: RNAcentral